CCUACGGGAGGCAGCAGUGAGGAAUUUUCCGCAAUGGGCGAAAGCCUGACGGAGCAAUACCGCGUGAGGGAUGAAGGAUUUUGGUCUGUAAACCUCUUUUCUCAAGAAAGAAGUUCUGACGGUACUUGAGGAAUAAGCAUCGGCUAACUCCGUGCCAGCAGCCGCGGUAAUACGGGGGAUGCAAGCGUUAUCCGGGAUGAUUGGGCGUAAAGCGCCUGUAGGUUGUUUAUUAAGUCCGUUGUUAAAGCCUAGGGCUCAACCCUAGAAAAGCAAUGGAAACUAGUAGACUAGAGUAUGGCAGGGGUAGAGGGAAUUUCUAGUGUAGCGGUGAAAUGCGUAGAUAUUAGAAAGAACACCGGUGGCGAAAGCGCUCUACUGGACCAUUACUGACACUCAGAGGCGAAAGCUAGGGUAGCAAAAGGGAUUAGAUACCCCUGUAGUCCUAGCCGUAAACGAUGGAUACUAGAUGUUGUGCAUUAUGUANAUAUACGUAGACUACGACGUAAGUAUACCGUCCGUCGGGUAGGUACGCGUCGCGAGGUAGGAAACGUAACAAAUAAGUAAUUAGUACGGACGUGAGACGUAGCCGAACGGACGACCGACCGAACGGGAGGUAAGG
This 619-nucleotide ribosomal RNA is filed under the name uncultured bacterium. RNAcentral's name for it is "bacterial SSU rRNA". The stretch from base 1 to 516 matches the Rfam family "Bacterial small subunit ribosomal RNA", at positions 338 to 873 of the family's 1533-position model. The record is from RNAcentral.